GACGAACGCUGGCGGCGUGCCUAAUACAUGCAAGUAGGACGCACAGUUUAUACCGUAGCUUGCUACACCAUAGACUGUGAGUUGCGAACGGGUGAGUAACGCGUAGGUAACCUGCCUAUUAGAGGGGGAUAACUAUUGAAAACGAUAGCUAAUACCGCAUAACAGUAUGUAACACAUGUUAGAUGCUUGAAAGAUGCAAUUGCAUCGCUAGUAGAUGGACCUGCGUUGUAUUAGCUAGUAGGUAGGGUAAUGGCCUACCUAGGCGACGAUACAUAGCCGACCUGAGAGGGUGAUCGGCCACACUGGGACUGAGACACGGCCCAGACUCCUACGGGAGGCAGCAGUAGGGAAUCUUCGGCAAUGGGGGGAACCCUGACCGAGCAACGCCGCGUGAGUGAAGAAGGUUUUCGGAUCGUAAAGCUCUGUUGUUAAGGAAGAACGAGUGUGAGAAUGGAAAAGUUUCAUAACUGUGACGGUAC
RNAcentral lists this ribosomal RNA (479 nucleotides) under Streptococcus anginosus. Its description in RNAcentral is "bacterial SSU rRNA". It matches the Rfam family "Bacterial small subunit ribosomal RNA", at positions 28 to 478 of the family's 1533-position model. Lineage: Bacteria; Bacillati; Bacillota; Bacilli; Lactobacillales; Streptococcaceae. The record is from RNAcentral.